GGAAGUUUGUAGUCCUCGGCGUCAGGAUGAACGCUGGCGGCGUGCUAACACAUGCAAGUCGAACGGAGCGACCCCGUCGAAGGAAGUUUUCGGACGAACGGAAGGGAAGUGCUAGUGGCGGACGGGUGAGUAACGCGUGAGUAACCUGCCUUGGAUGGGGAAGUAACAGAAUGGAAACAUCUGCUAAUACCGCAUGAAGCAGUUGGGCCGCAUGGCUCUGACUGCCAAAGAUUUAUCGCUCUGAGAUGGACUCGCGUCUGAUUAGCUAGUUGGCGGGGCAACGGCCCACCAAGGCGACGAUCAGUAGCCGGACUGAGAGGUUGGCCGACCACAUUGGGACUGAGACACGGCCCAGACUCCUACGGGAGGCAGCAGUGGGGAAUAUUGGGCAAUGGGCGCAAGCCUGACCCAGCAACGCCGCGUGAAGGAAGAAGGCUUUCGGGUUGUAAACUUCUUUUCUCAGGGACGAAGAAAGUGACGGUACCUGAGGAAUAAGCCACGGCUAACUACGUG
This 513-nucleotide ribosomal RNA is filed under the name uncultured Oscillospiraceae bacterium. RNAcentral describes it as "bacterial SSU rRNA". It matches the Rfam family "Bacterial small subunit ribosomal RNA", at positions 1 to 507 of the family's 1533-position model. Lineage: Bacteria; Bacillati; Bacillota; Clostridia; Eubacteriales; Oscillospiraceae. The record is from RNAcentral.